MicroRNA precursor from Arabidopsis lyrata subsp. lyrata, 191 nucleotides. It matches the Rfam family "MIR868 microRNA precursor family". The record is from Rfam. NCBI's taxonomy places the organism in Eukaryota, Viridiplantae, Streptophyta, Magnoliopsida, Brassicales, Brassicaceae.
GAAGUACCUUUCUCGGCACUUGAGGAUGUCAACUGACCAGCUCUCGUAUUUCAUGUCAUAAUAAUAGUCACACUAGGGUGAUAUAACGAGGAGAGAGUUAUAUCAUCCUAGCGCGAUUGUUUUUAUGACAUGAAAUACGUUUUAGAACUUAAAACACUUUGACCUUCUUAAGUGCUGAUAAUGUUUCUUAA